AUUGAACGCUGGCGGCAGGCCUAACACAUGCAAGUCGAACGGUAGCACAGAGAGCUUGCUCUCGGGUGACGAGUGGCGGACGGGUGAGUAAUGUCUGGGAAACUGCCCGAUGGAGGGGGAUAACUACUGGAAACGGUAGCUAAUACCGCAUAACGUCGCAAGACCAAAGUGGGGGACCUUCGGGCCUCACACCAUCGGAUGUGCCCAGAUGGGAUUAGCUAGUAGGUGGGGUAAUGGCUCACCUAGGCGACGAUCCCUCGCUGGUCUGAGAGGAUGGACAGCCACACUGGAACUGGAGAACGGUCCAGACUCCUACGGGAGGCAGCAGUGGGGAAUAUUGCACAAUGGGCGCAAGCCUGAUGCAGCCAUGCCGCGUGUAUGAAGAAGGCCUUCGGGUUGUAAAGUACUUUCAGCGGGGAGGAAGGCGGUGAAGUUAAUAGCUUCACCGAUUGACGUUACCCGCAGAAGAAGCACCGGCUAACUCCGUGCCAGCAGCCGCAGUAA
Molecule: ribosomal RNA, 504 nt
Filed under: uncultured bacterium
Lineage: Bacteria
Description: partial 16S ribosomal RNA
Rfam family: Bacterial small subunit ribosomal RNA
Source: RNAcentral